This 498-nucleotide ribosomal RNA is filed under the name Rhabdophis bindi. RNAcentral's name for it is "partial large subunit ribosomal RNA". It matches the Rfam family "Bacterial large subunit ribosomal RNA", at positions 1809 to 2592 of the family's 2925-position model. The record is from RNAcentral. Lineage: Eukaryota; Metazoa; Chordata; Lepidosauria; Squamata; Natricidae.
AAAAACAUAACCUUUAGCCAAACAAAUAUUAAAGGCGAUGCCUGCCCAGUGAAUAAUUAAACGGCCGCGGUAUCCUAACCGUGCAAAGGUAGCAUAAUCAUUUGUCUAUUAACUGUAGACCUGUAUGAAAGGCAAAAUGAGGGUUUAACUGUCUCUUAUAGUAAAUCUAUAAAACUGAUCUACUAGUAAAAAAGCUAGAAUACCACCAUAAGACCAGAAGACCCUGUGAAGCUUUAACUAAACUAUUAAACCAAAUAAUAACUACUUUAGGUUGGGGCGACCUUGGAAAUAAAAAGAACUUCCACACAAUAAAUAUUCAAAGGCCCACAAGCCACUAACGACCCAGUAACACUGAUAAUUGAACCAAGUUACUCCAGGGAUAACAGCGCCAUCUUCUUCAAGAGCCCAUAUCAAAAAGAAGGUUUACGACCUCGAUGUUGGAUCAGGACACCCCAAUGGUGCAACCGCUAUUAAAGGUUCGUUUGUUCAACGAUUAAU